UACGUAGGCAGCGAGCGUUGUUCGGAGUUACUGGGCGUAAAGGGUGUGUAGGCGGUUGUUUAAGUUUGGUGUGAAAUCUCCCGGCUCAACUGGAGGGUGCGCCGAAUACUGAAUGACUUCGAGUGCGGGAGAGGUGAGUGGAAUUCCUGGUGUAGCGGUGAAAUGCGUAGAUAUCAGGAGGAACACCGGUGGUGUAGACGGCUCACUGGACCGUAACUGACGCUGAGACACGAAAGCGUGGGUAGCAAACAGG
This 253-nucleotide ribosomal RNA is filed under the name uncultured bacterium. RNAcentral's name for it is "partial 16S ribosomal RNA". It matches the Rfam family "Bacterial small subunit ribosomal RNA", at positions 524 to 776 of the family's 1533-position model. The record is from RNAcentral.